GGGCCCGUAGCUCAGGCUGGUAGAGCACUUGGCUUUUAACCAAGGUGUCGUGGGUUCGAAUCCCACCGGGCUCG
This 74-nucleotide transfer RNA is filed under the name Candidatus Iainarchaeum sp. RNAcentral's name for it is "tRNA-Lys". It matches the Rfam family "tRNA". From Rfam's summary of the family: Transfer RNA (tRNA) molecules are approximately 80 nucleotides in length. The record is from RNAcentral. Lineage: Archaea; Nanobdellati; Candidatus Iainarchaeota; Candidatus Iainarchaeia; Candidatus Iainarchaeales; Candidatus Iainarchaeaceae.